This 163-nucleotide small nuclear RNA is filed under the name Propithecus coquereli (Coquerel's sifaka). RNAcentral's name for it is "U1 spliceosomal RNA (ENSPCOG00000009014.1)". It matches the Rfam family "U1 spliceosomal RNA". Rfam says of the family: U1 is a small nuclear RNA (snRNA) component of the spliceosome (involved in pre-mRNA splicing). The record is from Rfam by way of RNAcentral. Lineage: Eukaryota; Metazoa; Chordata; Mammalia; Primates; Indriidae.
GUACUUCCCUGGCAAGGGAGAUACCAUGAUCACGAAGGUGAUUUUCCAAAGGCGAAGCUUAUCCAUUACAUUCCUGCUGUGCUGACCCCUGCAACUUCCCCAAAUAUAGGAAACUCUAUUGCAUAAUUUGUGGUAUGGGGGACUGCAUUCGAGUUCUCCCCUG